Molecule: ribosomal RNA, 1306 nt
Filed under: uncultured bacterium
Lineage: Bacteria
Description: bacterial SSU rRNA
Rfam family: Bacterial small subunit ribosomal RNA
Source: RNAcentral
GAUGAACGCUGGCGGCGUGCCUAAUACAUGCAAGUCGAGCGGCAGCGCGGUCUUCGGACUGGCGGCGAGCGGCGGACGGCUGAGUAACACGUAGGAACGUACCCCAAACUGAGGGAUAAGCACCAGAAAUGGUGUCUAAUACCGCAUGUGCUCCACGGAGUAAAGCUACGGCGGUUUGGGAACGGCCUGCGCACGAUUAGAUAGUUGGUAGGGUAAUGGCCUACCAAGUCGACGAUCGUUAGCUGGUCUGAGAGGAUGAUCAGCCAGACUGGGACUGAGAACGGCCCAGACUCCUACGGGAGGCAGCAGUAGGGAAUUUUCCACAAUGGGCGAAAGCCUGAUGGAGCAACGCCGCGUGCAGGAUGAAUGCCUUCGGGUUGUAAACUGCUUUUAUAUGUGACGAAUAUGACGGUAGCAUAUGAAUAAGGAUCGGCUAACUCCGUGCCAGCAGCCGCGGUCAUACGGAGGAUCCAAGCGUUAUCCGGAAUUACUGGGCGUAAAGAGUUGCGUAGGUGGCACUGUGUGUCAGUAGUGAAAGCGUGUGGCUCAACCAUAUACACAUUACUGAAACUGCAGAGCUAGAGGACGAGAGAGGUAACUGGAAUUCCUUGUGUAGGAGUGAAAUCCGUAGAUAUAAGGAGGAACACCGAUGGCGUAGGCAGGUUACUGGCUCGUUUCUGACACUAAGGCACGAAAGCGUGGGGAGCAAACGGGAUUAGAUACCCCGGUAGUCCACGCCGUAAACGAUGAAUGCUAGCUGUUAUGGGUAUCGACCCCCCGUAGUAGCGAAGCUAACGCGCUAAGCAUUCCGCCUGUGGAGUACGGUCGCAAGAUUAAAACAUAAAGGAAUUGACGGGGACCCGCACCAGCGGUGGAGCGUGUUGUUUAAUUCGAUGGUAAACGAAGAACCUUACCCAGGCUCGACAUCCAUGGAAUUUUUCCGAAAGGAAAGAGUGCAUUUAGAACCAUGUGACAGGUGUUGCAUGGCCGUCGUCAGCUCGUGUCGUGAGAUGUUUGGUUAAGUCCAUCAACGAGCGCAACCCUUAUGGUCUGUUGUAUUUCUCAGGCCAGACCGCCCCGGUAACGGGGAGGAAGGAGGGGAUGAUGUCAGGUCAGUAUUACCCUUACGUCUGGGGCUACAACCACGCUACAAUGGCCGGUACAAAGGGCAGCCAAGUCGCGAGACGGAGCAAAUCCCAUCAAAGCCGGUCUCAGUUCGGAUAGCAGGCUGAAACUCGCCUGCUUGAAGCCGGAAUCGCUAGUAACGGUAGGUCAGCUAUACUACCGUGAAUACGUUCCCGGGUCU